AAGUUCAAAUUAUAUGACAUAUGACUUGAUGAAACGCUACCGUAUUCUUCCUAAUAAUUAACUGCGACCCUGACACGAAAUACCCGGGAGCAGACACUGAGAUAUAUUUUAAAUACACAAGGAAAAAGGAAAUGGACAGGGAGCGAAUUUACUGUGUCACCUGCAAAGUAAAGACGAAUACAUACAACAUGGUCGUUUACAAUGAGAAUGGGAGAAGACGACUGGAAGGAAUUUGUUCUGUGUGCCGCAAGAAGAAGUCUAUGUUUGUCUAACAGGAAAAUGAACUGUCAACAGAAGAAUUACUUAUUUUUUUAUUUGAACAAUGUGAUUUAACUAUAUCAGACUGUGAUUAUCCACCAUAUGAAUUAAUUAUAAUGUUAAUACUAAAUUAUUUUCGAAAGCAUUGUACAGAAAAUAAAGUAAAUAACAAAAUAAUAACGAGUAACAAAGUUUGUAAAAUUUUGUGAAAUGAGGUCAAUUCAAUAUUUUCACAAUAUAUAGUUAAUUUCCGAAAAUAAAUCUGAUUUUAUUGUUCAGAUAUCGUUAUUAUCUGCACGUUAUGUCAUAUCACGAUAACAAGAUGAUGUAACAUAAGAUAUAGCUAUCCUCUGUAUCAAAGGAUGAUAACCGACUAAAAGUGACAACUAUUAAAGUGAUGUUAAAAUUUUCAUCGAUUUUUAAAUAAAAAGAAAUUACAAAAAAAAUAUGUUUCAUUUUUAUUAUUUUUAGAACA
Long non-coding RNA from Mercenaria mercenaria, 733 nucleotides. RefSeq lists it as uncharacterized. The transcript is spliced from 3 exons. Lineage: Eukaryota; Metazoa; Mollusca; Bivalvia; Venerida; Veneridae. The record is from RefSeq and is a predicted model, not a curated record.